Molecule: ribosomal RNA, 326 nt
Filed under: uncultured eukaryote
Lineage: Eukaryota
Description: partial 18S ribosomal RNA
Rfam family: Eukaryotic small subunit ribosomal RNA
Source: RNAcentral
CCCUUAGAUGUUCUGGGCCGCACGCGCGCUACACUGACGGAGGCAGCGAGCAUGUCCUUCGCCGAGAGGUGUGGGGAAUCUUGUGAGUCUCCGUCGUGCUGGGGAUAGAUGGUUGCAAUUGUCGAUCUUGAACGAGGAAUUCCUAGUAAGCGCGAGUCAUCAGCUCGCGCUGAUUACGUCCCUGCCCUUUGUACACACCGCCCGUCGCACCUACCGAUUGGAUGGUCCGGUGAAGCCUCGGGAUUGUGGUUCUUGCCGCUUUAUUGUGGCGUGACCGCGAGAACUUGUCUAAACCUUAUCAUCUAGAGGAAGGUGAAGUCGUAACA